GGGGCUGUCGCUCAGUGGUGGAGCACUUGCCUUGCAUGCAUGAGGCACUGGAUUCGAUCCUCAGCCUCA
RNAcentral lists this transfer RNA (69 nucleotides) under Marmota marmota marmota (Alpine marmot). It matches the Rfam family "tRNA". From Rfam's summary of the family: Transfer RNA (tRNA) molecules are approximately 80 nucleotides in length. Their secondary structure includes four short double-helical elements and three loops (D, anti-codon, and T loops). The record is from Rfam by way of RNAcentral. Lineage: Eukaryota; Metazoa; Chordata; Mammalia; Rodentia; Sciuridae. RNAcentral also lists the same sequence under 1 other name.